UACGAAGGGGGCUAGCGUUGUUCGGAAUUACUGGGCGUAAAGCGCACGCAGGUGUAUUUAUAAGUCAGGGGUGAAAUCCCGGGGCUCAACCUCGGAAUUGCCUUUGAUACUGUCUAUCUUGAGUCCGGGAGAGGUGAGUGGAAUUCCUAGUGUAGAGGUGAAAUUCGUAGAUAUUAGGAAGAACACCAGAGGCGAAGGCGGCUCACUGGCACGGUACUGACGCUCAUGUGCGAAAGCGUGGUGAGCAAACAGG
RNAcentral lists this ribosomal RNA (253 nucleotides) under uncultured bacterium. Its description in RNAcentral is "partial 16S ribosomal RNA". It matches the Rfam family "Bacterial small subunit ribosomal RNA", at positions 524 to 776 of the family's 1533-position model. The record is from RNAcentral.